RNAcentral lists this ribosomal RNA (2118 nucleotides) under Escherichia coli. RNAcentral describes it as "partial 23S ribosomal RNA". It matches the Rfam family "Bacterial large subunit ribosomal RNA", at positions 711 to 2812 of the family's 2925-position model. RNAcentral also lists the same sequence under 1 other name. The record is from RNAcentral. Lineage: Bacteria; Pseudomonadati; Pseudomonadota; Gammaproteobacteria; Enterobacterales; Enterobacteriaceae.
AGACCCGAAACCCGGUGAUCUAGCCAUGGGCAGGUUGAAGGUUGGGUAACACUAACUGGAGGACCGAACCGACUAAUGUUGAAAAAUUAGCGGAUGACUUGUGGCUGGGGGUGAAAGGCCAAUCAAACCGGGAGAUAGCUGGUUCUCCCCGAAAGCUAUUUAGGUAGCGCCUCGUGAAUUCAUCUCCGGGGGUAGAGCACUGUUUCGGCAAGGGGGUCAUCCCGACUUACCAACCCGAUGCAAACUGCGAAUACCGGAGAAUGUUAUCACGGGAGACACACGGCGGGUGCUAACGUCCGUCGUGAAGAGGGAAACAACCCAGACCGCCAGCUAAGGUCCCAAAGUCAUGGUUAAGUGGGAAACGAUGUGGGAAGGCCCAGACAGCCAGGAUGUUGGCUUAGAAGCAGCCAUCAUUUAAAGAAAGCGUAAUAGCUCACUGGUCGAGUCGGCCUGCGCGGAAGAUGUAACGGGGCUAAACCAUGCACCGAAGCUGCGGCAGCGACACUGUGUGUUGUUGGGUAGGGGAGCGUUCUGUAAGCCUGUGAAGGUGUGCUGUGAGGCAUGCUGGAGGUAUCAGAAGUGCGAAUGCUGACAUAAGUAACGAUAAAGCGGGUGAAAAGCCCGCUCGCCGGAAGACCAAGGGUUCCUGUCCAACGUUAAUCGGGGCAGGGUGAGUCGACCCCUAAGGCGAGGCCGAAAGGCGUAGUCGAUGGGAAACAGGUUAAUAUUCCUGUACUUGGUGUUACUGCGAAGGGGGGACGGAGAAGGCUAUGUUGGCCGGGCGACGGUUGUCCCGGUUUAAGCGUGUAGGCUGGUUUUCCAGGCAAAUCCGGAAAAUCAAGGCUGAGGCGUGAUGACGAGGCACUACGGUGCUGAAGCAACAAAUGCCCUGCUUCCAGGAAAAGCCUCUAAGCAUCAGGUAACAUCAAAUCGUACCCCAAACCGACACAGGUGGUCAGGUAGAGAAUACCAAGGCGCUUGAGAGAACUCGGGUGAAGGAACUAGGCAAAAUGGUGCCGUAACUUCGGGAGAAGGCACGCUGAUAUGUAGGUGAAGUCCCUCGCGGAUGGAGCUGAAAUCAGUCGAAGAUACCAGCUGGCUGCAACUGUUUAUUAAAAACACAGCACUGUGCAAACACGAAAGUGGACGUAUACGGUGUGACGCCUGCCCGGUGCCGGAAGGUUAAUUGAUGGGGUCAGCGCAAGCGAAGCUCUUGAUCGAAGCCCCGGUAAACGGCGGCCGUAACUAUAACGGUCCUAAGGUAGCGAAAUUCCUUGUCGGGUAAGUUCCGACCUGCACGAAUGGCGUAAUGAUGGCCAGGCUGUCUCCACCCGAGACUCAGUGAAAUUGAACUCGCUGUGAAGAUGCAGUGUACCCGCGGCAAGACGGAAAGACCCCGUGAACCUUUACUAUAGCUUGACACUGAACAUUGAGCCUUGAUGUGUAGGAUAGGUGGGAGGCUUUGAAGUGUGGACGCCAGUCUGCAUGGAGCCGACCUUGAAAUACCACCCUUUAAUGUUUGAUGUUCUAACGUGGACCCGUGAUCCGGGUUGCGGACAGUGUCUGGUGGGUAGUUUGACUGGGGCGGUCUCCUCCUAAAGAGUAACGGAGGAGCACGAAGGUUGGCUAAUCCUGGUCGGACAUCAGGAGGUUAGUGCAAUGGCAUAAGCCAGCUUGACUGCGAGCGUGACGGCGCGAGCAGGUGCGAAAGCAGGUCAUAGUGAUCCGGUGGUUCUGAAUGGAAGGGCCAUCGCUCAACGGAUAAAAGGUACUCCGGGGAUAACAGGCUGAUACCGCCCAAGAGUUCAUAUCGACGGCGGUGUUUGGCACCUCGAUGUCGGCUCAUCACAUCCUGGGGCUGAAGUAGGUCCCAAGGGUAUGGCUGUUCGCCAUUUAAAGUGGUACGCGAGCUGGGUUUAGAACGUCGUGAGACAGUUCGGUCCCUAUCUGCCGUGGGCGCUGGAGAACUGAGGGGGGCUGCUCCUAGUACGAGAGGACCGGAGUGGACGCAUCACUGGUGUUCGGGUUGUCAUGCCAAUGGCACUGCCCGGUAGCUAAAUGCGGAAGAGAUAAGUGCUGAAAGCAUCUAAGCACGAAACUUGCCCCGAGAUGAGUUCU